CCUACGGGUGGCAGCAGUGAGGAAUAUUGGUCAAUGGGCGUAAGCCUGAACCAGCCAAGUCGCGUGAGGGAUGAAGGUUCUAUGGAUCGUAAACCUCUUUUAUAAGGGAAUAAAGUGUGGGACGUGUCCUAUUUUGUAUGUACCUUAUGAAUAAGGAUCGGCUAACUCCGUGCCAGCAGCCGUGGUAAUACGGAGGAUCCGAGCGUUAUCCGGAUUUAUUGGGUUUAAAGGGUGCGUAGGCGGCCUUUUAAGUCAGCGGUGAAAGUCUGUGGCUCAACCAUGGAAUUGCCGUUGAAACUGGGUGGCUUGAGUACGUUAGAGGCAGGCGGAAUGCGUGGUGUAGCGGUGAAAUGCUUAGAUAUCACGCAGAACCCCGAUUGCGAAGGCAGCCUGCCGAGCCAUGACUGACGCUGAUGCACGAAAGCGUGGGGAUCAAACAGGAUUAGAUACCCUUGUAGUC
This 460-nucleotide ribosomal RNA is filed under the name uncultured bacterium. Its description in RNAcentral is "partial 16S ribosomal RNA". It matches the Rfam family "Bacterial small subunit ribosomal RNA", at positions 338 to 795 of the family's 1533-position model. The record is from RNAcentral.